UUGAAGGAUUAUAUCGAAGAAUCAAAUGAUGAGGUAACGCUCGGAAGGGUUCUCUCUUAGCCGAAUAGCACUUAAUUUAGUAAGAAUGAUAGUGUUAUAAGCUCGGUGAAAAGGCGUGAGAAAUUCCUUCGUCGAUAAA
Non-coding RNA from Batrachochytrium dendrobatidis JAM81, 139 nucleotides. Lineage: Eukaryota; Fungi; Chytridiomycota; Chytridiomycetes; Rhizophydiales. The record is from Rfam.